GUAGGUUAUGGUGACAUUUAUCCCAAAACUUUACUAGGUAAAAUAGUUGGUGGAUUGUGUUGCAUUGCUGGAGUGCUGGUAAUAGCCCUACCCAUUCCCAUCAUAGUAAACAAC
Molecule: regulatory RNA element, 114 nt
Organism: Ophiophagus hannah (king cobra)
Lineage: Eukaryota; Metazoa; Chordata; Lepidosauria; Squamata; Elapidae
Rfam family: Potassium channel RNA editing signal
About the family: This family represents a group of sequences related to the human potassium channel Kv1.1 hairpin element which directs the efficient modification of an adenosine to inosine by an adenosine deaminase acting on RNA (ADAR). The ADAR modification causes an isoleucine/valine recoding event which lies in the ion-conducting pore of the potassium channel.
Source: Rfam